This 1320-nucleotide ribosomal RNA is filed under the name Enterococcus durans. RNAcentral's name for it is "bacterial SSU rRNA". It matches the Rfam family "Bacterial small subunit ribosomal RNA", at positions 82 to 1388 of the family's 1533-position model. The record is from RNAcentral. Lineage: Bacteria; Bacillati; Bacillota; Bacilli; Lactobacillales; Enterococcaceae.
CGGAAAAAGAAGAGUGGCGAACGGGUGAGUAACACGUGGGUAACCUGCCCAUCAGAAGGGGAUAACACUUGGAAACAGGUGCUAAUACCGUAUAACAAUCGAAACCGCAUGGUUUUGAUUUGAAAGGCGCUUUCGGGUGUCGCUGAUGGAUGGACCCGCGGUGCAUUAGCUAGUUGGUGAGGUAACGGCUCACCAAGGCCACGAUGCAUAGCCGACCUGAGAGGGUGAUCGGCCACAUUGGGACUGAGACACGGCCCAAACUCCUACGGGAGGCAGCAGUAGGGAAUCUUCGGCAAUGGACGAAAGUCUGACCGAGCAACGCCGCGUGAGUGAAGAAGGUUUUCGGAUCGUAAAACUCUGUUGUUAGAGAAGAACAAGGAUGAGAGUAACUGUUCAUCCCUUGACGGUAUCUAACCAGAAAGCCACGGCUAACUACGUGCCAGCAGCCGCGGUAAUACGUAGGUGGCAAGCGUUGUCCGGAUUUAUUGGGCGUAAAGCGAGCGCAGGCGGUUUCUUAAGUCUGAUGUGAAAGCCCCCGGCUCAACCGGGGAGGGUCAUUGGAAACUGGGAGACUUGAGUGCAGAAGAGGAGAGUGGAAUUCCAUGUGUAGCGGUGAAAUGCGUAGAUAUAUGGAGGAACACCAGUGGCGAAGGCGGCUCUCUGGUCUGUAACUGACGCUGAGGCUCGAAAGCGUGGGGAGCAAACAGGAUUAGAUACCCUGGUAGUCCACGCCGUAAACGAUGAGUGCUAAGUGUUGGAGGGUUUCCGCCCUUCAGUGCUGCAGCUAACGCAUUAAGCACUCCGCCUGGGGAGUACGACCGCAAGGUUGAAACUCAAAGGAAUUGACGGGGGCCCGCACAAGCGGUGGAGCAUGUGGUUUAAUUCGAAGCAACGCGAAGAACCUUACCAGGUCUUGACAUCCUUUGACCACUCUAGAGAUAGAGCUUCCCCUUCGGGGGCAAAGUGACAGGUGGUGCAUGGUUGUCGUCAGCUCGUGUCGUGAGAUGUUGGGGUUAAGUCCCGCAACGAGCGCAACCCUUAUUGUUAGUUGCCAUCAUUUAGUUGGGCACUCUAGCAAGACUGCCGGUGACAAACCGGAGGAAGGUGGGGAUGACGUCAAAUCAUCAUGCCCCUUAUGACCUGGGCUACACACGUGCUACAAUGGGAAGUACAACGAGUCGCGAAGUCGCGAGGCUAAGCUAAUCUCUUAAAGCUUCUCUCAGUUCGGAUUGUAGGCUGCAACUCGCCUACAUGAAGCCGGAAUCGCUAGUAAUCGCGGAUCAGCACGCCGCGGUGAAUACGUUCCCGGGCCUUGUACAC